AACGAACGCUGGCGGCAUGCCUAACACAUGCAAGUCGAACGAUACCUGCCGGUCUUGUGGCGCUGGAGUGGGUACCGCGGGGGAACUUUCACUUAGGUUCGGAAGAAUUCCCCGAUAUGAGUCUUAAUACCAGAUAGUGUCUUCGGGCCAAGGAUUUACCCAUGCUGUAUGGGCCCGCGUUUGUUUAGCUCCUUGGUAGGGUAAAAGCCUACCAAGGCGUCGAUCCCUAGCUGGUCUGUUCGGAUGGGAGGCCACACUGGGCAUGAGACCCGGCCCAGACUGCUACGGGAGGCAGCAGUGGGGAAUAUUGGACAAUGGGCGCAAGCCUGAUAACGCCACGCCGCGGGAGUGAUGAAGCCUGUAGGAUUGUAAAGCUGCUUUACCCGAGAUGAUAAUGACAGUACCGGGAGAAUAAGCACCGGCUAACUUCGUG
Molecule: ribosomal RNA, 433 nt
Filed under: uncultured bacterium
Lineage: Bacteria
Description: partial 16S ribosomal RNA
Rfam family: Bacterial small subunit ribosomal RNA
Source: RNAcentral